Molecule: ribosomal RNA, 497 nt
Filed under: uncultured bacterium
Lineage: Bacteria
Description: partial 16S ribosomal RNA
Rfam family: Bacterial small subunit ribosomal RNA
Source: RNAcentral
GACGAACGCUGGCGGCGUGCCUAAUACAUGCAAGUUGAGCGCUGAAGGUUGGUACUUGUACCAACUGGAUGAGCAGCGAACGGGUGAGUAACGCGUGGGGAAUCUGCCUUUGAGCGGGGGACAACAUUUGGAAACGAAUGCUAAUACCGCAUAAAAACUUUAAACACAAGUUUUAAGUUUGAAAGAUGCAAUUACAUCACUCAAAGAUGAUCCCGCGUUGUAUUAGCUAGUUGGUGAGGUAAAGGCUCACCAAGGCGAUGAUACAUAGCCGACCUGAGAGGGUGAUCGGCCACAUUGGGAAUGAGACACGGCCCAAACUCCUACGGGAGGCAGCAGUAGGGAAUCUUCGGCAAUGGACGAAAGUCUGACCGAGCAACGCCGCGUGAGUGAAGAAGGUUUUCGGAUCGUAAAACUCUGUUGGUAGAGAAGAACGUUGGUGAGAGUGGAAAGCUCAUCAAGUGACGGUAACUACCCAGAAAGGGACGGCUAACUACGUG